This 506-nucleotide ribosomal RNA is filed under the name uncultured bacterium. Its description in RNAcentral is "bacterial SSU rRNA". It matches the Rfam family "Bacterial small subunit ribosomal RNA", at positions 1 to 528 of the family's 1533-position model. The record is from RNAcentral.
UAGAGUUUGAUCAUGGCUCAGGACGAACGCUGGCGGCGCGCCUCAUACAUGCAAGUCGAACGUGAAGCUCGGAGCUUGCUCCGGGUGGAAAGUGGCGAACGGGUGAGUAACACGUGAGAAACCUGCCCCGAAGACCGGAAUAACACCGGGAAACCGGUGCUAAUACCGGAUGUCCUCCUCGGACCGCAUGAUCCGACGAGGAAAUGGAUUCCGCUUCGGGAUGGUCUCGCGGCCUAUCAGCUAGUUGGUGGGGUAACGGCCCACCAAGGCUUCGACGGGUAGCUGGUCUGAGAGGAUGUCCAGCCACACUGGGACUGAGACACGGCCCAGACUCCUACGGGAGGCAGCAGUGGGGAAUAUUGGACAAUGGGCGAAAGCCUGAUCCAGCAAUGCCGCGUGAGUGAUGAAGGCCUUAGGGUUGUAAAGCUCUUUUACCUGGGAAGAUAAUGACGGUACCAGGAGAAUAAGCCCCGGCUAACUUCGUGCCAGCAGCCGCGGUAAAUCGC